ACUCAGCUGACGAAUGCCAGACGGGACGAAACGUGCGUCCUGAAU
This 45-nucleotide non-coding RNA is filed under the name Schistosoma curassoni. Lineage: Eukaryota; Metazoa; Platyhelminthes; Trematoda; Strigeidida; Schistosomatidae. The record is from RNAcentral.